This 253-nucleotide ribosomal RNA is filed under the name uncultured bacterium. Its description in RNAcentral is "partial 16S ribosomal RNA". It matches the Rfam family "Bacterial small subunit ribosomal RNA", at positions 524 to 776 of the family's 1533-position model. The record is from RNAcentral.
UACAGAGGGGGCAAGCGUUGUUCGGAAUUACUGGGCGUAAAGGGCGCGUAGGCGGCCUUCUAAGUCGAACGUGAAAUCCCUGGGCUCAACCCAGGAACUGCGUCCGAUACUGGGAGGCUUGAAUCCGGGAGAGGGAUGCGGAAUUCCAGGUGUAGCGGUGAAAUGCGUAGAUAUCGUAAGGAAGACCAGUGGCGAAGGCGGGUCUCUGGACAGUUCCUGACGCUGAGGCACGAAAGCUAGGGGAGCAAACAGG